UACAGAGGUCCCAAGCGUUGUUCGGAUUCACUGGGCGUAAAGGGUGCGUAGGUGGUGAGGUAAGUCGGAUGUGAAAUCUCCGAGCUCAACUCGGAAAUUGCAUUGGAAACUACCUUGCUUGAGGGUUGGAGGGGGGACUGGAAUGCUUGGUGUAGCAGUGAAAUGCGUAGAUAUCAAGCGGAACACCAGUGGCGAAGGCGAGUCCCUGGACAACACCUGACACUGAGGCACGAAAGCUAGGGGAGCAAACGGG
This 253-nucleotide ribosomal RNA is filed under the name uncultured bacterium. RNAcentral describes it as "partial 16S ribosomal RNA". It matches the Rfam family "Bacterial small subunit ribosomal RNA", at positions 524 to 776 of the family's 1533-position model. The record is from RNAcentral.